CCUACGGGAGGCAGCAGUGGGGAAUAUUGCACAAUGGGGGAAACCCUGAUGCAGCGACGCCGCGUGAGUGAAGAAGUAUUUCGGUACGUAAAGCUCUAUCAGCAGGGAAGAAAAUGACGGUACCUGACUAAGAAGGCCCGGCUAACUACGUGCCAGCAGCCGCGGUAAUACGUAGGGGGCAAGCGUUAUCCGGAUUUACUGGGUGUAAAGGGAGCGUAGACGGCAGCGCAAGUCUGGAGUGAAAUCCCAUGGCUUAACCAUGGAACUGCUUUGGAAACUGUGCAGCUAGAGUGCAGGAGAGGUAAGCGGAAUUCCUAGUGUAGCGGUGAAAUGCGUAGAUAUUAGGAGGAACACCAGUGGCGAAGGCGGCUUACUGGACUGUAACUGACGUUGAGGCUCGAAAGCGUGGGGAGCAAACAGGAUUAGAUACCCGGGUAGUC
RNAcentral lists this ribosomal RNA (440 nucleotides) under uncultured bacterium. Its description in RNAcentral is "partial 16S ribosomal RNA". It matches the Rfam family "Bacterial small subunit ribosomal RNA", at positions 338 to 795 of the family's 1533-position model. The record is from RNAcentral.